Lactuca sativa (garden lettuce) is the source of this 752-nucleotide long non-coding RNA. RefSeq lists it as uncharacterized. Lineage: Eukaryota; Viridiplantae; Streptophyta; Magnoliopsida; Asterales; Asteraceae. The record is from RefSeq and is a predicted model, not a curated record.
ACAUAAGCAAUUUUUGUUAAACAUAACACAACAUCUUCAAGUAAACUAUAAAUAUCGUUCUUAUUGAAAUACAUGUUUACUUUCACACAAUCUUUUUACAUUCCCUUAUUUUCCGCAGAUUAAAUUGGUCUACCCGUAAACUCUGUAUAUUAUCUCUUAUCUCAGUCAAUUAAUUGGCAUUUCUUGUGGAAGAACCUUUCUCCAUGUCUUCUCUCCUUGAACUCUCUGAUAAGAAACCUAAUCCAUAUCCCUCCUUUUCCAUUUAUGCUUUUUGUAUCCACAUUUGCCUCCUCCACCGAUAUGUCUUACAAUCCUUACCAUGAACUGGUGUUCCCUUCUCCUCUCCACCCCACCACCACCAAACCAUCGCCAUUCUGAAAACCCUUGAGACCAUCGUCUCCUCUAACAUCUCCCACCGCCGUCUCCUCUAAACAGGCAUGUUUGUGAUUAAAGAAUGUUGAUGGUAGUGUAGCAAUCGUAUCAAACAAUGGCAAUUGAAGAGGCGUCAAUGGACUAAAACAUUGGAUCUGUUAAAGCCCUACAGGUUCAGUCAAUUUGAUUUCUCUUCUUCCUUACCUCCUUACUGUUAGCCACCUCAUCGCCGCCUACAAACCCACCACUCUUUGUAGCCAAUGAUCUGAUUCAGGCCUUUAGUUCAGAUCAAGUUUAUAAAUGUAAAAAAUCAUACAGAUAAGUAUGUUCCCGUUGUCUCUUUUUGAAUCUGAGAAAUAUAAAAAGUUCCCAUUAUUGAA